UCGGAUUGUAGUCUGCAACUCGACUACAUGAAGCUGGAAUCGCUAGUAAUCGCGAAUCAGAAUGUCGCGGUGAAUACGUUCCCGGGUCUUGUACACACCGCCCGUCACACCAUGGGAGUCAGUAACGCCCGAAGUCAGUGACCCAACCGGAACCGGAGGGAGCUGCCGAAGGUGGGACCGAUAACUGGGGUGAAGUCGUAACAAGGUAUC
RNAcentral lists this ribosomal RNA (210 nucleotides) under uncultured bacterium. RNAcentral describes it as "partial 16S ribosomal RNA". It matches the Rfam family "Bacterial small subunit ribosomal RNA", at positions 1293 to 1500 of the family's 1533-position model. The record is from RNAcentral.